Molecule: ribosomal RNA, 393 nt
Filed under: uncultured bacterium
Lineage: Bacteria
Description: partial 16S ribosomal RNA
Rfam family: Bacterial small subunit ribosomal RNA
Source: RNAcentral
AUACGGAGGAUCCGAGCGUUAUCCGGAUUUAUUGGGUUUAAAGGGUGCGCAGGCGGGAGAUUAAGUCGGCGGUGGAAUUUUGCAGCUCCACUGUAAAAGUGCCUUCGAAACUGGUUUCCUUGAGGGUAGAUGAAAUAGGCGGGAUUUGUGGUGUAGCGGUGAAAUGCAUAGAUAUCACGAGGAACUCCGAUUGCGCAGGCAGCUUACUAAACUACUACUGACGCUCAGGCACGAAGGCGUGGGGAUCAAACAGAAUUAGAUACCCUGGUAGUCCACGCAGUAAACGAUGAUUACUAGCUGUUUGCGAUACAAUGUAAGCGGCUGAGCGAAAGCGUUAAGUAAUCCACCUGGGGAGUACGUUCGCAAGAAUGAAACUCAAAGGAAUUGACGGGG